Molecule: long non-coding RNA, 1751 nt
Organism: Lates calcarifer (barramundi perch)
Lineage: Eukaryota; Metazoa; Chordata; Actinopteri; Centropomidae
Exons: 3
Source: RefSeq, a predicted model, not a curated record
ACGCUGGCGUAACAGUUCACACUUCCGAGAUGUAAAAAUUUAAAAUAAAAGCUUUUACGCUAAUUAUUUUCUGUGAUAAUAUUUUUCAGAGCUCAUCAUCUGUGACAGCUCUUGGCUCUCCUGACUGUAACCUCUCUGUGGCAGCUUCUCACAGACUCAAUCAACUCCUCUUCCCCUCCCCCCUCAAACACAAACACAAACACACACACACACACACACACACACACACAAACACAGAGAGAGAUACCCCCUCCCAAAAGGAGAUAAAACUCAGUUUUAACUUGAGUUUAAAAGCUUUGAGCUUUGAGCAAAAGCAUUUUUUUUAAGUUCUGUUAUUGGGUGCAUAUAUAAAUCAUUUAUGCUUAAACAAGGCUUAUAAUGAAGUUAUUUGAACAGUGAAUAUCUCAGCUGCCUAAAGUCAGGGCGAAGCCACUAACCAGCUGUAGGGAUGGGUAUCAUUCGGAUUUUAUCUUUAUCCAUACAGACCCCUAUCAGUCCAGCUCAGACUGUUACUGGUUUAAGAGAGUGAAGUUUAUAGCAAUUUGCAAAAUUUGGAGAUUAGUGACAAACUAACCAGUUAGACUACAUACAGACAAGCUUUCAUUUUAGCUGUUAGUAACAGUUUGCCAUGAGCUUAACCAGCGUGCUGUGCUUCCUGUUAAACAUGUCAUGAGACUGUGGACAACGCUGAAAAUAUUACUUUACUAACUACUGGCUGAACAGGCGCUUUGACAAAGAAAAGGUAAAGGCCAGCAGCUUUUACUUUUCAAUGCACUUGUCGUCAACUUGAGUGGCUUAUAUUCAGCUGGUUCACCUCGACGCCGGUGGAUGUAGACAUGCACUUUUCCUGUUGCCGUACACUGAGUAACACGAAAAAAUCAGCUGACCCCUUGUGAAAUUUCCUAACUGAUCAAAACCAAACUGUAAAGACAGCAUCAAUCCACGCUCAGCUUUGGUCAAGGGGAGACAUAUGAGCUCAUCAUCUGUGACAGCUCUUGGCUCUCUUGACUGUAACCUCCCUGUGGCAGCUUCUCACAGACUCAAUCAACUCCUCUUCCCCUCCCCCCUCAGACACACACACACACACACACACACACACACACACACACACACACAGAGACCCCCUUCCAAAAACCCAUCAAAGAGUAAUACAAUGGCUCCAUCUAUAGGAUAAAGUCGAGAGUCGCAACAGGAAGUUACCCCAAAAUCUGAGGUUUCAAACAGGAAGUUGGGUUUCCGAACUUUGACGGGCCAGAACCGGCACACGCUUCGACCAAAACUCACAAUUUUCGGAGGACUUCUUCCAAAAAUUGUCAAGGAGGGGCUGACAACAUUUGAAGUGAAUCUGGUCACCCGUCUAGAAACUGGACAUCACACUAUAAAAUAUGUCAUUUCCUGCUAUAAAUAGGUGGCGCUACAACAAUUGUAUGAAUAUUGACAUAUGGAUGUGUGCAGAUAGGUACCAUUAACAAUCCUGUAAAGUUUGAUGCAGUUUGGACAAAGUAUGGCCGAAAUAUAGCAAAAAUAAAGCAACUUCCUGUUUCGUGGCGAGUAAUCGAACUUUGAGGGGCCAUAACUUCCACGCCCUUCAACAAAAACUCAAAAUCUGCCGCAAUUUAACAUCGUCCAUGUCUUAAGAACAUACUAUUAAGUUUUGAAGUCAAUCGGAUAAUGCGUCUAGGACUAGUUCGCGUUCAAGCGACCCCUGGAAAUGGCCAAAAACACACAAUUUUUUCACCUUCCGGUCAAAA